CCUACGGGAGGCAGCAGUGGGGAAUAUUGGACAAUGGGCGCAAGCCUGAUCCAGCAAUUCCGCGUGGGUGAAGAAGGUCUUCGGAUUGUAAAGCCCUUUCGUUGGGGACGAUGAUGACGGUACCCAAAGAAGAAGCCCCGGCUAACUUCGUGCCAGCAGCCGCGGUAAUACGAAGGGGGCUAGCGUUGCUCGGAAUGACUGGGCGUAAAGGGCGCGUAGGCGGCACAACUCGUCAGGCGUGAAAUUCCUGGGCUUAACCUGGGGGCUGCGUUUGAUACGGUUGGGCUAGAGGAUGGAAGAGGCUCGUGGAAUUCCCAGUGUAGAGGUGAAAUUCGUAGAUAUUGGGAAGAACACCGGUGGCGAAGGCGGCGAGCUGGUCCAUUACUGACGCUGAGGCGCGAAAGCGUGGGGAGCAAACAGGAUUAGAUACCCUGGUAGUCCACGCUGUAAACGAUGUGCGCUGGAUGUUGGGUAACUUAGUUACUCAGUGUCGUAGCUAACGCGAUAAGCGCACCGCCUGGGGAGUACGGCCGCAAGGUUGAAACUCAAAGGAAAUUGACGGCGUGAGAGUUGCGAAGACGACGACGAGGGAGGAGG
RNAcentral lists this ribosomal RNA (597 nucleotides) under uncultured bacterium. RNAcentral describes it as "bacterial SSU rRNA". It matches the Rfam family "Bacterial small subunit ribosomal RNA", at positions 338 to 956 of the family's 1533-position model. The record is from RNAcentral.